CAAGAGCAAGGAUGUUGCGAGGAGGGACGAGCUUGCUGGGGAUCGUCAACUUCGUGACGUUCCUGAUCUCGAUCCCGAUCCUGGGGGGAGGAAUCUGGCUGGCGUCGAGGGCCAACUCCACCGACUGCAUCCGCUUCCUGCAGUGGCCGAUCAUCGCCAUCGGGCUCGCCGUCAUGGUGGUGUCCCUCAUGGGGUUCGCGGGGGCGUGCUACCGCCAGACGUGGCUGCUCCGCCUCUACCUCUUCGCCAUGUUCUUCAUCGUCGUCGCCCUCCUCUUCUUCAUCGUCUUCGCCUUCGCCGUCACCGACCGCGGCGACGGCCAGGUGGUGAUGAACCGGCGGUUCCUCGAGUACCAGCUCUCCGACUACAACGGAUGGCUCCGCGACCGCGUCGCCGACCCCGCCUACUGGGCCACCAUCAGCGCCUGCCUCCGCG
RNAcentral lists this long non-coding RNA (435 nucleotides) under Oryza sativa (Asian cultivated rice). RNAcentral's name for it is "long non-coding RNA (OSAT_LNC000906)". Lineage: Eukaryota; Viridiplantae; Streptophyta; Magnoliopsida; Poales; Poaceae. The record is from RNAcentral.